UACGAAGGGGGCUAGCGUUGCUCGGAAUCACUGGGCGUAAAGGGUGCGUAGGCGGGUCUUUAAGUCAGGGGUGAAAUCCUGGGGCUCAACUCCAGAACUGCCUUUGAUACUGAGGAUCUUGAGUAUGGGAGAGGUGAGUGGAACUGCGAGUGUAGAGGUGAAAUUCGUAGAUAUUCGCAAGAACACCAGUGGCGAAGGCGGCUCACUGGCCCAUUACUGACGCUGAGGCACGAAAGCGUGGGGAGCAAACAGG
Molecule: ribosomal RNA, 253 nt
Filed under: uncultured bacterium
Lineage: Bacteria
Description: partial 16S ribosomal RNA
Rfam family: Bacterial small subunit ribosomal RNA
Source: RNAcentral